GAUAAACGCUGGCGGCGUGCCUAAUACAUGCAAGUUGAGCGGUAAGGUUCUGCACCCACUAUUUGACCAGAUAAGUUUCUUGCAAAAGAAAUACUGUCUGCAGCGAUGAUCUCUGGCUGAGAUUAUAGUCGAAUGAUGAGUGUAGAAUACACGAGCGGCGGACGGCAGAGUAACGCGUAGGAACGUACCCCAAACAGAGGCAUAACGGCCCGGGAAACCGGUCAAUACCGCAUAAUAUCUUCGGAUUAAAGCUUCGGCGGUUUGGGAGCGGCCUGCGUAUGAUUAGCUAGUUGGUGAGGUAAUGGCUCACCAAGGCGACGAUCAUUAGCUGGUCUGAGAGGA
RNAcentral lists this ribosomal RNA (342 nucleotides) under uncultured bacterium. Its description in RNAcentral is "bacterial SSU rRNA". It matches the Rfam family "Bacterial small subunit ribosomal RNA", at positions 28 to 300 of the family's 1533-position model. The record is from RNAcentral.